AAAAAAAAAAAAAAAAACUAUUUCUUUCCCCUUCUCAGGACUCGAGUGUUGAGUCUUGCAAAAGGCCGAGCGAGCUGAAAUGAUAAUUCGAUGCACGUAUAGCCCGUCAAAUCAUGAAACAGGCGACGGAAUUUUCUUUUUCUUUGAUGUGUUCGGUAGCUUUUUGACUGUAUUUAUCUAACUUCACCUCUAUCAAAGCCCUUGCUUAACGGCCAAAACUACCCAAUGCAAAGGGAAUCCCGUAA
RNAcentral lists this unclassified non-coding RNA (245 nucleotides) under Hevea brasiliensis (rubber tree). The record is from RNAcentral. Lineage: Eukaryota; Viridiplantae; Streptophyta; Magnoliopsida; Malpighiales; Euphorbiaceae.